GCGGGGACGCUGGUGGUCCCGCGGGGGGGCGGGGGAAGGUCCCUGCCAGCCCCAGCGCUCGCUCUGCUCUCUUCCAGGUUUCAUGUCCUGGGAGGACAACCCCUGCAGCGAGAGGAACCCCUUCGUCUGCAAAUACUCAGCCUAGAAGCGGGGCCGCGAGCGAGCCGCCCCCAGCCCUGCCGUCACCCUGCACCCCGCGCCCCCCCGCCCCGGUGCCUGCUGCCCCCCUGCACGUCGCCCCCACACCCUGGGCCCCCCCUCGCUCCCAGCCCCCUUGCUGUGACCGUGGCGAGGGACCCCGCAAUAAACGCACACGAAGCACGCCCUGGUGCCGCGUCUUCCUCCGGCCGCACCCCUGCCCCGCUCGGCGCUGUCCCCCGGCCGCGGCAGAGUGCAGGGCUGCCCCUGGGGGGGGGGUUCUGCCCCCAGCCCCCUGGUCCUGCCCCCCCUCUGUGGUGUGACACCGGGCCAGCGGCGAGGUGUGCCUGCGGGCGGGGGGCUGCACAUUGGGCAGGGGCCGGAGGGAUGAACACUGCUGAAGGGACCCGGAGCUCAUUUGGGAAAGGGGCAGCUGUGCCUCCCGGCAGAGGGGGCCCUCGGCCCGGGCACAACGGGCACAGCUGGGCACAGAGACCCCUGGGGCACUUCUCCCACACCCCCGAGGCCCCCAGCGCACGAGGACGUCGCCCACCCUGGGCACGGCUGGAUCCUGCCCCAGCCUCAGCACCGGGGCCGCAGGCCCUCGAGUGCUGGGGUCACGAGGCCAGCACCGGGACCAGCGGUGCUGCUGCCCGGGGCCGUGCCGGGGUGGAGAGGGGCCCUCAGCCCCCUGCUCUCCCCCCCGGCUGCAUCUCGCCAUGGGGGCACCAGGGCUGCCCUGGGCCAUGGGGUCAGGGGCUUUCUGGGGGAAACCCCCGUAUCUGCCAAGCGGUUAUCACCAAAGCAGGAAAUUAUCCUCCCCCUUAUCAGCCAGAGCGUGCCCGUGUUUGCCGUGGCCGCUUUCAGAGACUCCGGUAUUUACCUGGAGCUCGGUGCCCGUGA
This 1041-nucleotide long non-coding RNA is filed under the name Anser cygnoides (Swan goose). Its description in RNAcentral is "lncRNA (ENSACDG00005004021.1)". The record is from RNAcentral. Lineage: Eukaryota; Metazoa; Chordata; Aves; Anseriformes; Anatidae.